ACGGAGGGUGCAAGCGUUAUCCGGAUUCACUGGGUUUAAAGGGUGCGUAGGCGGUCUGACAAGUCUGAUGUGAAAUCUAUGGGCUCAACCCAUAGUCUGCAUCGGAAACUGUCGGGCUUGAGUAUGGGAGAGGUGAGUGGAAUUUCCGGUGUAGCGGUGAAAUGCGUAGAUAUCGGAAGGAACACCUGUGGCGAAAGCGGCUCACUGGACCAUUACUGACGCUGAGGCACGAAAGCUAGGGGAGCAAGCAGGA
This 253-nucleotide ribosomal RNA is filed under the name uncultured prokaryote. Its description in RNAcentral is "partial 16S ribosomal RNA". It matches the Rfam family "Bacterial small subunit ribosomal RNA", at positions 525 to 777 of the family's 1533-position model. The record is from RNAcentral.